Molecule: ribosomal RNA, 253 nt
Filed under: uncultured bacterium
Lineage: Bacteria
Description: partial 16S ribosomal RNA
Rfam family: Bacterial small subunit ribosomal RNA
Source: RNAcentral
UACGGGGGGGGCAAGCGUUGUUCGGAAUUACUGGGCGUAAAGGGCUCGUAGGCGGCCAACUAAGUCAGACGUGAAAUCCCUCGGCUUAACCGGGGAACUGCGUCUGAUACUGGAUGGCUUGAGAUUGGGAGAGGGAUGCGGAAUUCCAGGUGUAGCGGUGAAAUGCGCAGAUAUCAGGAGGAACACCGGUGGCGAAGGCGGGUCUCUGGGCCGAUACUGACGCUGAGGAGCGAAAGCGUGGGGAGCGAACAGG